This 1135-nucleotide ribosomal RNA is filed under the name Klebsiella aerogenes. Its description in RNAcentral is "bacterial SSU rRNA". It matches the Rfam family "Bacterial small subunit ribosomal RNA", at positions 1 to 1123 of the family's 1533-position model. Lineage: Bacteria; Pseudomonadati; Pseudomonadota; Gammaproteobacteria; Enterobacterales; Enterobacteriaceae. The record is from RNAcentral.
ACUUAAAUUGAAGAGUUUGAUCAUGGCUCAGAUUGAACGCUGGCGGCAGGCCUAACACAUGCAAGUCGAGCGGUAACACAGAGAGCUUGCUCUCGGGUGACGAGCGGCGGACGGGUGAGUAAUGUCUGGGAAACUGCCUGAUGGAGGGGGAUAACUACUGGAAACGGUAGCUAAUACCGCAUAACGUCGCAAGACCAAAGUGGGGGACCUUCGGGCCUCAUGCCAUCAGAUGUGCCCAGAUGGGAUUAGCUAGUAGGUGGGGUAAUGGCUCACCUAGGCGACGAUCCCUAGCUGGUCUGAGAGGAUGACCAGCCACACUGGAACUGAGACACGGUCCAGACUCCUACGGGAGGCAGCAGUGGGGAAUAUUGCACAAUGGGCGCAAGCCUGAUGCAGCCAUGCCGCGUGUAUGAAGAAGGCCUUCGGGUUGUAAAGUACUUUCAGCGAGGAGGAAGGCGUUAAGGUUAAUAACCUUGGCGAUUGACGUUACUCGCAGAAGAAGCACCGGCUAACUCCGUGCCAGCAGCCGCGGUAAUACGGAGGGUGCAAGCGUUAAUCGGAAUUACUGGGCGUAAAGCGCACGCAGGCGGUCUGUCAAGUCGGAUGUGAAAUCCCCGGGCUCAACCUGGGAACUGCAUUCGAAACUGGCAGGCUAGAGUCUUGUAGAGGGGGGUAGAAUUCCAGGUGUAGCGGUGAAAUGCGUAGAGAUCUGGAGGAAUACCGGUGGCGAAGGCGGCCCCCUGGACAAAGACUGACGCUCAGGUGCGAAAGCGUGGGGAGCAAACAGGAUUAGAUACCCUGGUAGUCCACGCCGUAAACGAUGUCGACUUGGAGGUUGUGCCCUUGAGGCGUGGCUUCCGGAGCUAACGCGUUAAGUCGACCGCCUGGGGAGUACGGCCGCAAGGUUAAAACUCAAAUGAAUUGACGGGGGCCCGCACAAGCGGUGGAGCAUGUGGUUUAAUUCGAUGCAACGCGAAGAACCUUACCUACUCUUGACAUCCAGAGAACUUAGCAGAGAUGCUUUGGUGCCUUCGGGAACUCUGAGACAGGUGCUGCAUGGCUGUCGUCAGCUCGUGUUGUGAAAUGUUGGGUUAAGUCCCGCAACGAGCGCAACCCUUAUCCUUUGUUGCCAGCG